CUUCCCAAAGAGAGGAUUAGGAGGGGGGACAGAUGAAAACUUCACCACCAUUUUUUUCGAAAAGAAAAGAAUAAAAAUAAAAAUACUGUUUUGUUAAUAGAUGUGAAGGGGGAAGUGAUACGCGGGCAGCUGGGUUAGUUAGGUGGCCAAAAGGUCACUGUCUAUCUCCAACAGAGAAAGAGAAAAGCAUGCCUAAGUAGAAAUUUAAUAAAUUAGUAUGUAUGACUUGGAGGAACAGAGGAGUUCUUUGUUCAGAAAUAGCCACAAAUUAUUACUCCUUUUUCCCUCGUAACAGUCUUGCUCGUCUUUUUAAGUCUUAAACUCUUACCACAAUUCAAAAUCAAAAAGAAACCACCACCCCCUAAAAAAAACAAUAUCUGGAGAGCUCUUAAUCAGCUUCCAAGGAGGUGUAAUAUAAACUAUGUGAUUUGGAAAGACUGUAGCUGGUAAAUUUACCUGGUAGAUAUGAGGUGUAGCUGCUUUGGUUCAAAAGGGAGUGCUGCCAGGCCUAAUCUUGACGCAGAUGAGGAAUUGCUUCGUGAUAUCAACCAUUUCUCAUAUAAUCAGUUAAGAUCAGCAACAAACAACUUCCAUUUGACCAAUAAGAUUGGACGAGGAGGCUUUGGAAUUGUGUACAAGGGAACCCUAAAAGACGGAAGACAAAUCGCUGUGAAGACACUCUCCGCUCAAUCAAAGCAAGGAAUGCGGGAAUUUUUGAAUGAGAUCAAUACUUUAUCAAGAGUUAGGCAUCCGAACCUUGUUGAACUAAUAGGGUGCUGUGUUCUUGGAGCUAACAGAAUUUUAGUGUAUGAAUAUGUAGAAAAUAAUAGCCUUGAGCGUGCAUUACUAGGUUCACAGAAUACAAAUACUACACUGGACUGGGGAAAAAGAUCUGCAAUUUGCUUCGGUAUUGCCAAGGGCCUUGCUUUCCUGCAUGAAGAACUCGUGCCACAUAUCGUGCACAGAGACAUUAAAGCCAGUAAUGUACUUCUUGACAAAGAGUAUAACCCAAAGAUUGGAGAUUUUGGGCUGGCUAAACUCUUUCCAGAUGAUAUCACUCAUAUUAGCACGAGAAUAGCUGGAACAACUGGUUAUUUGGCACCAGAAUAUGCUAUGGGAGGUCCAUUAACCAUGAAGGCUGAUGUGUACAGUUUUGGGAUCCUCAUCCUUGAAAUAAUUAGUGGCAGAAGCAGUUCAAAGCCCAGCUGUGGAGGAAUGGAGAAGCUCCUCCUAGAAUGGGCAUGGGAACUUUAUGAGGGCGGCAAACUUUUGGAGCUGGUGGAUCCGCAACUAGGAGAAUUUCCAGAGGAAGAAGUCAUUAGGCACAUGAAAGUUGCCUUAUUCUGUACCCAGGAAGUAGGAAGCCGGAGGCCACUCAUGAGCCAGGUUGUUGAAAUGCUCUCGAAGAACAUCCGGCUUAAUGAGAAGCUCCUUUCAGCACCAGGUUUCUUUCGAGAUUUAUCUGGCCUUAGUGGGGGACCAUCAGUAACAAAAAAGUCAUCUACUGAUUCUACUGGCCUUCAUACAAGCUCCAUUCCGGGAACAAUCACUGAGUUGGCACCUAGAUGAAGAAUAUUAUUUUGUAGGUAUUGACACCCAGCAUUUGCGAGCACCCUCGACAGGAAUACGGGAAGAAUUAGUUACUAGGAAAAUUCGAGUAUGUAAUUACGCAUUCUGUAAGGAAGAAGAAGAGAGAGAGUAGGAAAUAAAGAGUCGGAGUUUGCAAAGUGAUUGAGUUGAUUUGUCUGAAAUUGGGACGAAUUAUAGAACCAAACUCAAAAUCUAACACUGUUUAGUUGUUCUGUUAAUAGAAGGGAUUAGAUUAUAAGUUUUGAAAACUUUUUGACCAUUUGUUUGCAUCUGUAAAUAGUUUAGGGGCAAAUACACCUUUUCUUCAAGGAAUUAAUAGACCUCAAAUAAAAUGAGUCCAUUGUCACGCGCUAA
RNA transcript from Ricinus communis (castor bean), 1944 nucleotides. It is a transcript of the gene named putative serine/threonine-protein kinase, with no coding region annotated. The transcript is spliced from 8 exons. The record is from RefSeq and is a predicted model, not a curated record. NCBI's taxonomy places the organism in Eukaryota, Viridiplantae, Streptophyta, Magnoliopsida, Malpighiales, Euphorbiaceae.